Molecule: long non-coding RNA, 8838 nt
Filed under: Olea europaea subsp. europaea
Lineage: Eukaryota; Viridiplantae; Streptophyta; Magnoliopsida; Lamiales; Oleaceae
Source: RNAcentral
GUCCAUGACAUCUAUUUCCCGGAAUUACAGAAGAGUACACUUUAUGAUGAUAUUAUUGAUUCUAUUUUAUAUAGGACGGUGAAAUAGAUUUUAACUUUUGCCCUGCACUCAAGAAAUGUAGAUCAGCGACCAAGAUGUGGCGGACCCGGGUUGUGUAUAGGAUUUGGCCCAGUUGGUGUCGCUCUCAGUGAACGAUCGCCUAAAGUUACCUUCCUAUGAAAUUGCUCCUGCUUCAUAAGAUCAUACCCUCUUUUUUGAGGAUGUAGAAGGAUUUCUUCAGCAUUUUCCUUUUGAAAACUCACGGGAAAUAUGCACAAGACGAUCAGGAGAAAAGCUAAUACUUUUGCUGGUGUAGGAUAUUGGUCCAUUUUUAUAGAAAUAUAGCUGAAAAUAUAGAGGUAAUGUUUGAUGCACAUUAGGGAGCUUGUUAUAUAGGACACAAAAUAAAAUAUGUAAAAAAUUCAUAAUUAAUGGGUAUUUAAUUUUUUCAUUGUCCAAUUCAAGAUUUUGUGGUGAACUUGAAAUCUGAUGCAUAGAACAAUAGAAUUUUCUAAAAGCUUUAAAGUAAAUAUGAAGCAGGUAUUGAGUGUAGGCAUAAUCUUUUAAUGAAAUAAAUAAAUUAGAAUACGGAAAAUUAGGUAAGAGUGUAAUUGGGUUUCCAUACUUGUUCUCUAUUUCCGUGUGUAUUCUUGACUUUCUUUGUAUAACGAAAGUGAUGGAGAGGAAGACAAUUUUCUUCUCUCCAAAAUUUAUAUCAAACCCAUUUCUUAAUAGAAAGUAAAAGUUGUCUAAUUAUCAUUCACAAAAUCUGAUGCAUAGGAUCAGAGAAUUUUCUAUAUUCUUUAAAGUAAAUAUGAAACAGGCAUUGAGUGAAAAUAUAAUCUUUUAAGGACAUAAAUAAAAUAGAAUAUGUAUAUUAGGUAAGAGUGCAAUUGGGUUUCCAUAUUUGUUCUCUAUUUCCAUAUGUGUAUUCCUUAUUUUCUCUAAAUAAUGAAAGUGAAUGAAAGGAAGACAAUUAUCUUCUUCUCACCAAAGUUUAUAUCAAACCUAUUUCUCAACAGUGGCAAUUAGUCAAAGUUCUUUAAAUGUCCUUCACAAAAUCUGAUGCAUAAUCAUCGAAUUUUCUAUAUGCUUCAAAGUAAAUAUGAAGUAGAUAUUGAGUGCAAACAAGGGUGGACCCACAGUGGGUCUUGGUGGGUCACCUAACCACCAACUUUCAUUUUUAUUUAUUUAUCAAAAGUCACAUUUUCACUUGAAUUUCCCUUUCAUUCAUCCCGAUUAUCUGGCUUUAAAGUAUAAACAUUUGCUUUUUUCUAAUUUCUUGCUAGAUGUGUUUAUCCCUAAAUAUGCGUCUAUUGCCUUGAUACGAUAUAUGUGUUGGCUCUUAUUUUUUUGAAUAGGUUAACAAGAAAUAGAAGUGCGGCAAGUGCCUGAAAAUUAACCUUGAUGACUUUUCCAAAAGAAUGCUACUACUCAAGAAGAAGAAAUAUGCAACAGUAAAAGUGUAGUUUAAGGACGGCAAACCUCAUGAGAUAGCUUUUAAUAUAUCUGUUGAGAUUCUUUAAAAGUCUUUUCAGUGUGCUGUUUUCCUUUGAAUGUUCAUGAAUUUGAGUUUGGUGUUGACCAUUGAGUGGAAAGGACUUGAUAUGGUUUGGCGAGAUUGGCGCUUGCUAUUAAAGGAAUUAGGUGAUUUCUGCCUCAGUCAAAUUUUUAAUGAUGUUUGUUGGGUAGCAGAUCCCUGAACUUCUACAUUUCUCUUUGAAUCCCACUUGUUAUAGUUGGCACCAAACUAGAUAUGUUUCAACACAACAAGCUCUAGUUAGUCUUAAGUUUUCUGCUGAAAUUGUCAUAGUUGUGUGUGUGUUUUUUGUCAUCUCUACUUAUCAGGUGGGUAAAACAAGUGUGCUAAAAACAACCUCAUAUUUAUCUUAUGAAUUUGGCCUUUUGUAGUUUUGAUUGAACCCCACUAAUUAAAUUGUUUUUGCAUCCGCCACUGAGUGCAAAUAUAAUCUUUUAAGGAAUUAAAUAAAUUAGAAUACGUAGAUUAGGCAAGAGUACAAUUGAGUUUCCAUAUUUAUUCUCUAUUUUCAUAUGUGUUUUCUUGAUUUUCUCUAUCUAAUGAAAGUGAAUGAGAGGAAGAUUAUUAUCGUCUUCUCUCCAAAGUUUAUAUCAAAUCUGUUUCUCAACAGAAGCAACUAGUAAAUGUUGUCUAAUUAAUCCUUAACAAAAAAAUCUUAUGCUUAUAAUCAUAGGAUUUUCUAAAUGUUUUAAAGGAAAUAUGAAGUAGGCAUUGAGUGCAGAUAGAAUCUUUUAAGGAAAUAAAUAAAUUAGAACACGUAAAUUAGGUAAGAGUACAAUUGAGUUUCCAUAUUUGUUCUCCAUUUCCAUGAGUGUAUUUUUUAUUUUCUCCAUCUAAUGAAAGUGAAGGAGAGGAAGACAAUCAGCUUCUUCUCUCCAAAGUUUAUAUCAAACUCGUUUCUCAGUAGAAGCUAUUAGUAAAAGUUCUCUAAACAUCCUUCACAAAAUUUGAUGCAGAGAAUCAUAGAAUUUUUUAAAUGCUUAAAAUUAAAUAUGAAGUAGAUAUUGAGUGUAGCUAGAAUGUUUUGAAAAGAUAAAUCAAUUAGAAUACAUAGAUUAGGCAAGAUUGCAAUUAGGUUUCCAUAUUUGUUAUCUAUUUCUAUAUGUGUAUUCUUGGUUUACUAUGUAUAGUUAAAGUGGAGGAGAGGAAGAUAAUCAUCUUCUUCUUUCUAAAGUUCAUAUCAAACCUGUUUCUCAACAGACUCAAUUAGUAAAAGUUCUCUAAUUGUCCUUUAAAAAAUUUGAUGCACAGAAUCAUAGAAAUUUCUAAGCUCAAUAUAAAUCCGAAGCAGAUUAUGAGUGCAUAUUGAAGCAAUUAGUAGAACUUCUCCACAUAUCUAAAUGUAUCAGAAGAAACUAUGUCUCUCAAACUAUGUAUAAUGACAAACAAAAGUUCGCUGCAUAAAUGAUGAAGAAAAUUUACAAGAGAACAAAAAUUUUGAUUAUUGUUAGAGUAACUUGAAAAAAGUGCAAUUCUUUUGAAAGCUAUUUGUUUGAGUAUAUCUGUCCACUGCCACCUUUUUCCAUGGCUUUCUUACCCUAUUUGACCUCUUUUAAGAAUUACUGGAUAGAUCGGCCUUUUCUGAUUGUUCCUUCUCAAACUUGACUGGCUUGUCCCUAGGACAUGUCAUUUUGUAAGUCCCCCUACAAAUGACUUUUCGGACUUAAAGCAAUCAGUUUUCAUUAAUUUCUCAAGUUGUUUGUCUAUACCUGCUUGCAUCUUGUCUUCAAUGUCUUUCAUCGACAUGUACAACAUAUUCAUAAUGGAUUGAGUAUAACAGACCAUUGUCACAUAUUUUGUUAGCAUCAUCUGUGGCAACCUAGAAACUUGAGUUCUCAAUAAAUUGGGAAACAUAAUAAUGAUCAACCACUAAGAGAACAAUAAUCUCAUCCCCAAACCUCUAGUUUUAUAAAACCUGUGAGAAACCACUUUGAUUAUUACACUUCUCUGAAGUACCCAAAAAUUUUACUUAGAGAAAUCCCCAAUUUGUACUAUAUAGAGAAAAAUAAUUGUGAGAAUCCACACCUAAAGAUUGAAAGAAAAAUUGUUUUUCUCUUCCAAUAGCCCCAUUUUUCCUCUUCGUUCAGCAACCUCUAUUUUUCUAUUUUCCAGUUGUACAGUCGCCGUUUUACCAAAUUGUUUCCCUUAUGUGACUUCUAAUCAUAUUAUAGUAUAUUUGGGCUAUUUAUCCCUUCAUGGGCUGGAAGACCAUAUCACAAUCUUUUUUUCUCCCCCAUAAAGAAAGGAGUUAUCCUUUAACAGAUUAGUUAUAGUCCAAACGACCAGUCCUACAUAAAGCUCAAGUUUUUCUUGGGUCACUAUUUUUGUCAUUAUAUCAUCCAGAUUCUUUUCGGUAUGAAUCUUCUCUAAUAUUAUCAAUUAUUCCGUUACUACUUGUUGUAGCCGAUGUUAUUCACAUAAAUGUGCUUUAUCCAAGAAUGAUAAGUAGCAUUCUUGCUCAAUCUAAUACGCUCUGUCUGUCGCAAUUAACUGCAUACCCAUCUUGCUUUGAACCCAAAUCUUGGAGAAAUUUCAUACAAAACUUUUUUUUUUCUUCAGUUGCUAUAAUAUACUCAGCCCAAGUUGAAAAUAAGGCAACAUACUUUUGUAAUUUUGACUACCAUGAGACUGCUCCCCUUGCGAAAGUAACUAAGUAUCUCGAUGUUGAUUUUCUACCAUUAAGAUCACCAGUCAUAUCUACAUCUGUAAAGCCCUCUGAAAUUGGUUUUGAACCUCCAAAGGUCAAGAACAUCUUUGAAGUACUUUUCAAGUAUCAAAAGAUCCAUUCACUAUCCCACAAUGAUCUUUAUCGGGUCUAAGAAGAAAUCCGCUGACUACGCCAACUACAUGAUCAAUAUCUGACUUUGUACAGGCCGUAGGAUACAUUAAACUCCCAAUCGUAGAGGAAUAAGAAAUGUCUGCUAUUCGUUUUUAUUAAGAAGGACAAGUCAUCUUACUCAAUUUGAAGUGACUACAAAAUGGUGUUUCAACUGGUUUAGUAUUCAUCAUUUUGAACCUUUCCACCACACUUUCUAUAUAUUUUUCUUGUGGUAACCAUAACUUUUUGGCUUUCCUACCAUGGCGAGUACACAUUCCUAAAAUUUGUCAUGCUGGUCCAUGAUCCUUCAUGUCAAGCGACUUGAACAAAUCUAUCUCCGACUUGCGAAUCAACUGACCAGUAGCAACAUAUCAUCUACAUAUAUCAAAAGGAUGAUAAAGUUUCCACCAUGAAAUUUUCUAACAUAAACGCAAUAGUCUACAUCUUUCAUGGUAUGAUCAUGACCUACCACAAAUGAAUCAAACUUCUUAUACCAUUGUCUUAGAGCCUGUUUCAACCCAUACAAACUCUUUUUCAACUUACAAACCAUAUAUUCCUUUCCUCUUACUUUAAAUUCCUCUGGAUAAACCAUGCAGAUUUCUCACUCCAAAUCACCUUGGAGAAAGGCGAUCUUUACAUUUAAUUGCUCAAGCUCAAGAUCCAAACUAGUUGCUAAACCUAAAACCAUUGGAAUGGAAGUCAUUUUGACAAUAGAAGAGAAUAUCUCAUCGAAAUCAAUCUUUUUUAUCUGACUGAAGCACUUCAUCGCAAAUCGAGCUUUAUACUUCACUAGCCCUUUCCAAUCUUUCUUCAACUUGAAUACCUAUUUAUUCUUCAAUGCCUUUUUGCCUUUAAAAAGCUCUACUAGCUUAUAAGUGUUAUUCUUCUCUAAAGAAUUCAUCUCUUCCUGCAUAGCCUUCGCUCAGCUCUAUUUGUCCUUUUGAGAUUGUACCUCUUGAAAGCAUUCUAGCUCUUCCUUAUCAGUUACCAACACAUAAUCUGAUACUGGAUACCUAGUUGUUGGAUGAUGCUCCUUAGUAGACCUUCUAAUAUGAGUUUAUGAUGUAGUAGGUUGCUCUCUCUGUUUAACAUCCUCUAGAUCAUCUUCAUCAACCCCUGCUAGCUCAUCACCAUUCUAUCAAUGUGUGUCUCUAUCUUCUCGAGUAGCAUUAUUUGGAGACAAAGAGACAGGUGUAAGGUUAGUGACACCUUCAGCGACACAUCUUUGAUACUAGAUUUCUCGAAAUAUGCUAACUUUUGAUUUUCAUCAAAAAUCACAUCUAUAUUUCUGAUUAAUUUCUUCUUUUUCAGAUCCCAAUAGUCUAUAGCAUCUCAGUAGGCAACAAAAAUGCAAGUAUUAGCUUUAUCAUCUAGCUUCAAUUGUUGUUUCUUAGGCACAUGUGCACAUGCAUUGCACCUAGAAAUCUUCGAGUCAAAAUAAAAAAUAUCCUUUCCCGUCUACACCUUCCUGGAAUCUCAAAAUUCAAAGGAACUGAUAGAGAACAAUUGAUUAUAUAGCACAGAGUUCGAAUUAUUUUACUUAAAAUGAUUUAAGUAACCCAACCAUCCUUAACGUACUUCUAACCUUUUCCACAAUGGCACCGUUCAUUUUCUUUGCUAUAGCAUUGUGCAGUGAGAUACCUGGAAUAAUCUUCUCAUGUCUAAUAUCAUGCUUUGAGUUGUAAUAUUCAAACACUUUAGACAUGUAAUCCCCUAUGAUGUCAGUUCGAAAACACUUUAAAACUUCUACUUUAUCGUUCCACCAUGUCAUGAAAUUUCUUGAAGCACUGAAAAACUUGGUCUUUGGAUUUUAAUAAAACACCCAUAGCUUUCGUGAAGCGUCAUCAAUAAAGUAAGAAAGUAUUUAUUGCUACCUAAGAACUCCAUCUCAAUAGGAAUAUAAACAUUUAAAUAGACCAAAUCUAAAAUAUUUGAUUUUCUCAUAGAGAACUUCUGAAAGAAACUCUAUGCUAGUUACCAAGUAAACAAUAAUCACAUGAAUUUAAUGAUAUACUUUUAAUAAAAGGAAUGAAGGACUUCCUUACCAAAAUCUACAAUCCUUUCUCACUCAUAUGAGCCAAUCGCUUGUGUCACAAGUCCGGUGUAGAAUCACUUUCAGUUGCAUUUAUCAUCUCACUACACACUUUUACUUGUGUCUUUUAAAGUGUGUAACAAAUCUUUCCUCUAGAAAACACCUUAGACCCUUUCAUUAGUUUUCAUCUUCAACUACUAAAAUAACUGUCAUAUUCCGUUCAUCAAAGGCAUGUUGAUAAGCAUAUUUUAUACACUUAUUCAGGGUUUUAAAUAAUGACAUUUUGUAGUUCUUCUGAUGAAAUAUUGGCAAAUAUGUAUUAUAUUAUGUCUAAUAGGUAAAAUUCAUGAUUUUUUUUAAAGAAUUGGAGAAAACAAGCAAAAAUUAGAGAAAAAAUGGCGAAAUCAAAACUAUGGGUGAGUAAAAUGCAACAUUCCAAUAGUUGUGUCCGAUUGCAAGAUGGCAAUUCAGGAACGUUAAGUCAAUUGUACGAGAAGAGAGCUAACGGGAUGAAAAAUUGUCAAAAAGGAUCAAUAUUCAAAAUACACACUUGGAAAAGUUUAGGGACCAAUAUAUAGUUUGGUCGAAAAAUGGCAAUACCAUGUGUGUUGUUAGGAUCUUGCAUAAACUGAUGUCACCCUAAAAUAAGUGAAAUAGAAAGAAAUCAGGUUGUAUAAAAAAAUAAAAAGAGAUCUUGCAUAAACUAAUGUCCGUGGUAACAGUGUCAACAACUUGCUCGAGAAAAUUCCACAAGUGUAUGAGAUUAUUGUACAAGUAAUAAGAUUUGUGAGUCAAGAAUAUCGUUCCCACGUGGAAUAAGGUCUACUUUGUAAUUCAAUAGUUUUUAUCAAAUUCGAAUUGUAGUAACAUCAAAAGAGAAUUUGGUUUUGUCAUUUAUACUAAUUUCUACUCUAAGAAAGCAAGUAUAUAUGAUGUUUCAUCUAUGUGAAUACUUGUAUUGGGUUUAUGUAUUCCCUUAUUUCCAUCUAUUUCAACUCUCAAUAAUUAACCUAUUCAAUUCAUUCAUUUUUUACGACCGAUAGAGCUAAUAUUUUAAAUGCUAUUUCCCAUGAUAUACCAACCUAGAACUAACAUAAGACUAUUCUAUUCCUAGUCUAAAUUCAAAUGAAAGUCAUGCAUCUUUUUUAGAUUGUCAAUAAGAUUGUAUGUGGAAAAAAGAUUAUUCCUAAUUCUAACAAUUUGUAGUAAAUUCAAAGGCACGGGAUAGCACUUUAUUUAGGACUUUAUUUGUCUCUUAAAAAUGAGUGAAUAGGGAUAUAAAUAAGUCUCCAAGAUCAUUGAAAUCAAAAUAGACGUUUGUUGACGAUUAUGCACUAAAGACAAACCGAACAACUUAGAUAAAAAGAAUGUAUAUGAAAGUCUUUGAUACCUGGGAAUUUACAUUGUGCUUUGAAAGAAUAAGAAUGUGGCUUCGAAAAUUCAUAUAUAAAAGCCACAUUCUUAUAGAUGUCCAUUAUAUUGUUCUUUGAAAGAGUAUGUGGUUUUGACAAUAAGAAUGGGGCUCAAUGAGAUUUUGAUGACGUUAGAGAAUUGACACAAAUAUGAUAAGUUUGCUACCCGAAGCUAUCCAGAAUUUAGGUUAUCAAAAUAGCAGAAUAGAGUCUCCUAUGUGUGACUAGUCAAACAAGGAAUUUUUUUCUGAUAACAAUGUAAAAGGAAAGAUCAAACUCAGAAUAAUCAAAAGAAUGGCACCAUGUUCAAUGCCUCUAAAUAGCACUGGAGAACCCCUAGAUUCUAUGGAACCCCUUACAACAACAAAAAAUAAAGCGAGUACUCAAUAGGUGCAAAAGUUUAAAGUUGGUAAAGUUAGACCUUACUAAUAAUUCUCAAAAAAGACGUAUCAAAAUGUAAGAUUCCUUUUCUCUCUUGAUAGUUGAAACAUUCAUCCCUUGAUCUCUCUCUCCAACUUUCUUUUUUUUUUUUGGUCAAUGGGUUGAAAUUUGACAUGUUAAAGUUAGAUUGUACUGUAAGCAGAGCUUCAAUAUAAAGCUUUUGCAACUUAAGAUGAGUUAGAGAAAAUAAUAUGAAAUAUGAAGUUUUAUUAAGUCCAUGACAUCUAUUUACUUGAAUUAGAAGAAAGUACACUUUAUGAUGAUAUUAUUGAUUCUAUUUUAUAGAGGACGGUGAAAUAGAUUUUAACUUUUGCCCUUCACUCAAGAAAUGUAGAUCAACGACCAAGACGUGGUGGACUCGGGUUGUGUAUAGGAUUUGGCCCUUCUGGUGUCACUCUCAGUGAACAACCGCCUAAAGUUACCUUCCUAUGAAAUUGCUCCUGCGUCAUAAGGUCAUACACUCUUUUUGAGGACGUAGAAGGCUUUCGUUAGCAUUUUCGUUUGAAAAAUCAUGGGAAAUAUGCAAAGACAAUCAAGAGAAAGGCUAAUACUUUUG